Taeniopygia guttata (zebra finch) is the source of this 1641-nucleotide long non-coding RNA. The record is from Ensembl. Lineage: Eukaryota; Metazoa; Chordata; Aves; Passeriformes; Estrildidae.
AAUCUCCCCCAAAAUUCGUCAAAAUUUGCCCAAAAAUUCCUCCAAAAUCCCCCCAAAAUUUCCUCGAAAUUCCCACAAAGUCCCCCCCUAAAAUACACAGAAAAUUUCCUCAGAAUCCCCCCCAAAUUCCCCCAAAUUUCCCCCAAUCCCCUCCCCCUCCUCACAGGUUGCCGUGCUCGCGCCCCCUCCCCAAAUUCUGGGGGGGCUCCGCCGUUGUUGGGAUCAUCUGUGGGGGAGAGGGGGGCGCAGAGACCCCCAAAAAAUCCUGAGGACCCCCCAAACCCCUCCAAAACCCCCCCAAAUUCUCCCAGGACCCCCCCAAAACCCCCCAGGAACCCCCAAACCCCCCAGGGACCCCCAAAAUUCCCUCAGGACUCCCACCAGGGACCCCCCCAAACUCCUCUAGGACCCCCCCAGGAGCCCCCAAACAACCCGAGGACUCCCCAGGGACCCCCAAAAUUCCCCCAGGACCCCCAAAGCCCCCCAGGGACCCCCCUAAAACCCCCAGGACCCCCCCAGGGACCCCCAAAUCUCCCUGGGACCCCCACAAAACCCCCCAGGACACCCCCAGGGACCCCCAUUAGGCCUCAGGGACCCCCAAAAUUCCCCCAGGACCCCCCAACCCCCCCCGGGACCCCCCCACGGACCCGCGCCCCCCCUCCGCCACCGCCGGGUCUCGAACUCGUAGAAUUUCUUCUCGUAGAGUUUUCGGGGGGGCCCUGGGGGGGGGCACGGGGUCAGCCCAGGGCUCCCAGUUCAAACCAGUUACCCCUCCCAGUCCCUCCCAGUCAUCCCCAGCCUCUGCCAGUGCUCUCAGUCCAAACCAGUGUCCCCAGUUACCCCUCCCAGUGCAAACCAGUGCUCCCAGUUACCCCUCCCAUUCCCUCCCAGUACCCCCAUUCCCCUCCCAGUACUCUCCCUGUCCCCCCAGUGUCCCCCCAGUCCCUUCCCAGUCCCCCCAGUCCCCUCCCAGUCCCUCCCAGUCCCUCCCAGUUCCUCCCAGUUCCCCCCUAUCCUCCUCCCAGUCCCCCCAAUCCCCUCCCAGUCCCCUCCCAGUCCCUCCCAGUUCCCCCCAAUCCCCUCCCAGUCCCCCCAGUCCCUCCCAGUCCCCUCCCAGUCCCUCCCAGUCCCCCCCCAAUCCCCUCCCAGUCCCUCCCAGUCUCUCCCAGUGCCCACCCAGGGGCCCGCGCCGGCUCUGGAGUUUCUCCAGCAGCUCCUGGUCCGAGAGGCCCCGAAAACUUUCCAUGGCUGGGGGGGUCCGGGGGGCACUGGGAGUCACUGGGGAGCACUGGGAGUCACUGGGGGGGCACUGGGAGUUACUGGGGAGCACUGGGGGGGCACUGGGAGUCACUGGAGGGGCACUGGGGAGCACUGGGGGGCACUGGGAGUUACUGGGAGUCACUGGGGAGCACUGGGGGGUCCCUGGAGGGGCACUGGGGGGUAACUGGAGGGGCACUGGGGGGCACUGGGAGGUCCCGGGAUGAUCCCCCGUGGGUUUGGAGGUGUUCCGGAGGGGUCCCCCAUCGAUUUUGGGGGUCCCAGAGAGGUCCCACGUGGGUUUGGGGGAUCCCGGGGGGGGGUCCUGAGUUCUCCUCACAGCACUGGGUGGGGGGGGGGGGGAAUCCAGGGGGUCCCCCCUGA